UCCCUGGUGGUCUAGUGGUUAGGACUUGGCAUUUUCACUGCUGAGGUAGGGGUUCAAUCCCUGGUCUGGGAA
This is a non-coding RNA of Sus scrofa (pig), 72 nucleotides long. NCBI's taxonomy places the organism in Eukaryota, Metazoa, Chordata, Mammalia, Artiodactyla, Suidae. The record is from Rfam.